GGGCGGAUGGUUUAGUGGUAUAAUACUCCCUUAGCAUGGUGUCUGGGAGUGGUCCGGGGUUCGAUUCCCCGUCUGUCCA
Molecule: non-coding RNA, 79 nt
Organism: Claviceps aff. purpurea
Lineage: Eukaryota; Fungi; Ascomycota; Sordariomycetes; Hypocreales; Clavicipitaceae
Source: the annotation of a GenBank genome assembly